Molecule: long non-coding RNA, 365 nt
Filed under: Ictidomys tridecemlineatus (thirteen-lined ground squirrel)
Lineage: Eukaryota; Metazoa; Chordata; Mammalia; Rodentia; Sciuridae
Description: lncRNA (ENSSTOG00000031668.1)
Source: RNAcentral
UUUUUCAUUUCUGAAAAUUUCCACUUAAUAUAAUUUUCAGAAAAUGGUUGACCGCAGGUAACUGAAGCCAUUGGAAAGAGAAAACGUCAGAAAGACUUUCUCCGUGGCUGCCUCAUCCUAUGGAACUCAGCUCAGACCAGACGUGGAUUCCCUCCACAGAGCCCUCCUUCGCUUAAGAUUGGGCUAGGUGGCCAUUACCAAGAGCUAGCAUUGGCCUCUGUUUCCCUGCACCUGGGAAGAAUUUAUGCUAACCAGCUGCGAGGAAGAAGCAAAGAGAUGACACCAGAAAAACAAUGAGGAGGAAAUACUCCAAUGUUUCAACAGGUAGUUGAUUUUAAUUUUCUUACAUAUUUCCAUCGAUUGUC